GAUGAACGCUGGCGGCGUGCCUAAUACAUGCAAGUCGAGCGAACGGACGAGAAGCUUGCUUCUCUGAUGUUAGCGGCGGACGGGUGAGUAACACGUGGAUAACCUACCUAUAAGACUGGGAUAACUUCGGGAAACCGGAGCUAAUACCGGAUAAUAUUUUGAACCGCAUGGUUCAAAAGUGAAAGACGGUCUUGCUGUCACUUAUAGAUGGAUCCGCGCUGCAUUAGCUAGUUGGUAAGGUAACGGCUUACCAAGGCAACGAUGCAUAGCCGACCUGAGAGAGUGAUAGGCCACACUGGAGCUGAGACACGCUCAAGACUCCUACGGGAGGCAGCAGUAGGGAAUCUUCCGCAAUGGGCGAAAGCCUGACGGAGCAACGCCGCGUGAGUGAUGAAGGUCUUCGGAUCGUAAAACUCUGUUAUUAGGGAAGAACAUAUGUGUAAGUAACUGUGCACAUCUUGACGGUACCUAAUCAGAAAGCCACGGCUAACUACGUG
RNAcentral lists this ribosomal RNA (497 nucleotides) under uncultured bacterium. Its description in RNAcentral is "partial 16S ribosomal RNA". It matches the Rfam family "Bacterial small subunit ribosomal RNA", at positions 28 to 507 of the family's 1533-position model. The record is from RNAcentral.